GACGAACGCUGGCGGCGUGCCUAACACAUGCAAGUCGAACGAAGCAUAGCAAUAUGCUUAGUGGCGGACGGGUGAGUAACGCGUGAACAAUCUGCCCUGUACAAAGGAAUAGCCUCGGGAAACCGGGAUUAAAACCGUAUGACACUUUAGUAUCGCAUGAUAAGAAAGUCAAAUCGAUUAGAGGUAUGGGAUGAGUUCGCGUCUGAUUAGCUGGUUGGCGGGGUAACGGCCCACCAAGGCGACGAUCAGUAGCCGGCCUGAGAGGGUGAACGGCCACACUGGAACUGAGACACGGUCCAGACUCCUACGGGAGGCAGCAGUGGGGAAUAUUGCACAAUGGAGGGAACUCUGAUGCAGCGACGCCGCGUGAGUGAAGAAGGUCUUCGGAUCGUAAAACUCUGUCCUUGGUGAAGAAAAGGACGGUAGCCAAGGAGGAAGCCCCGGGCUAACUACGUGCCAGCAGCCGCGGUAAGCUGUAGUCGU
This 483-nucleotide ribosomal RNA is filed under the name uncultured bacterium. Its description in RNAcentral is "bacterial SSU rRNA". It matches the Rfam family "Bacterial small subunit ribosomal RNA", at positions 28 to 532 of the family's 1533-position model. The record is from RNAcentral.